Molecule: ribosomal RNA, 387 nt
Filed under: Procornitermes araujoi
Lineage: Eukaryota; Metazoa; Arthropoda; Insecta; Blattodea; Termitidae
Description: partial 16S ribosomal RNA
Source: RNAcentral
CUUUUCUUGUUAGUUUUUGAAGUAUAGCCUGCCCACUGACUUUUAGUUGAAGGGCCGCGGUAUUUUGACCGUGCAAAGGUAGCAUAAUCAUUAGUUCUUUAAUUGUGAUCUGGUAUGAAUGGCUUGACGAGAUAUAAGCUGUCUUGGAGGUAUUGUUAUAGUUGAAUUUGGUUUUUGAGUUAAAAUUCUUAAAUGUUUUUAUGGGACGAGAAGACCCUAUAGAGUUUAACAUUUAUCUUGUUUUUUUUUGUGUUUGUAUUUAUAUAUAAGUUGGAUUAAUGUUUUGUUGGGGUGAUGGGAGGAAUAUUUUUAACUCCUCUUUAUUUUUUUAUAUUUAUUUAUAGUUUUUGUUUGAUCCAUUUAUUAUGAUUGUAAGAUUAAAUUACC